This 872-nucleotide ribosomal RNA is filed under the name Botrytis cinerea. RNAcentral's name for it is "partial large subunit ribosomal RNA". It matches the Rfam family "Eukaryotic large subunit ribosomal RNA", at positions 37 to 926 of the family's 3401-position model. Lineage: Eukaryota; Fungi; Ascomycota; Leotiomycetes; Helotiales; Sclerotiniaceae. The record is from RNAcentral.
AGCAUAUCAAUAAGCGGAGGAAAAGAAACCAACAGGGAUUACCUCAGUAACGGCGAGUGAAGCGGUAAAAGCUCAAAUUUGAAAUCUGGCUCUUUUAGAGUCCGAAUUGUAAUUUGUAGAAGAUGCUUCGGGUGUGGUUCCGGUCUAAGUUCCUUGGAACAGGACGUCAUAGAGGGUGAGAAUCCCGUAUGUGACUGGAUACCUAUGCUCAUGUGAAGCUCUUUCGACGAGUCGAGUUGUUUGGGAAUGCAGCUCAAAAUGGGAGGUAUAUUUCUUCUAAAGCUAAAUAUUGGCCAGAGACCGAUAGCGCACAAGUAGAGUGAUCGAAAGAUGAAAAGCACUUUGGAAAGAGAGUUAAACAGUACGUGAAAUUGUUGAAAGGGAAGCGCUUGCAAUCAGACUUGCACUUGGUGUUCAUCAGGGUCUCGUACCCUGUGUACUUCAUCAAGUUCAGGCCAGCAUCAGUUUGAGUGGUUAGAUAAAGGCUUAGAGAAUGUGGCCCUCUUCGGGGGGUGUUAUAGCUCUAGGUGCAAUGUAGCCUACUUGGACUGAGGACCGCGCUUCGGCUAGGAUGCUGGCGUAAUGGUUGUAAGCGACCCGUCUUGAAACACGGACCAAGGAGUGUACCUAAUAUGCGAGUGUUUGGGUGUUAAACCCAUACGCGUAAUGAAAGUGAACGCUGGUGAGAACCCUUAAGGGUGCAUCAUCGACCGAUCUUGAUGUCUUCGGAUGGAUUUGAGUAAGAGCAUAUUGGGUGCGACCCGAAAGAUGGUGAUCUAUACGUGAAUAGGGUGAAGCCAGAGGAAACUCUGGUGGAGGCUCGCAGCGGUUCUGACGUGCAAAUCGAUCGUCAAAUUUGCGUAUAGGGGCGA